GACGAACGCUGGCGGCGUGCUUAACACAUGCAAGUCGAACGAGUGGCGAACGGGUGAGUAACACGUGGGUGAUCUGCCCUGCACUCUGGGAUAAGCUUGGGAAACUGGGUCUAACACCGGACAGUGCAAGAUGAGCCCGCGGCCUAUCAGCUUGUUGGUGGGGUAAUGGCUACCAAAGCGCGACGGGUAGCCGGCCUGGGAGGGUGUACGGCCACAUUGCGACUGUGUCACGGCCCAGACUCCUACGGGAGGAAGCAGUGGGGAAUAUUGCACAAUGGGCGCAAGCCGGAUGCGGCCAUGCCGCAUGUAUGAAGAAAGCCUUCGGGUUGUAAAGUACUUUCAGCGAAGAGGACUUACUCGCAGAAGAAGCACCGGCUAACUCCGUGCCAACAACCGCGGUAAUUC
This 405-nucleotide ribosomal RNA is filed under the name uncultured bacterium. Its description in RNAcentral is "partial 16S ribosomal RNA". It matches the Rfam family "Bacterial small subunit ribosomal RNA", at positions 28 to 526 of the family's 1533-position model. The record is from RNAcentral.